AGUGGUUGGAAAGGGGUGUGGUACUUGGGUGGAGGAGGGGGGGCAGUUAGCAAAUAUUUUGUUCAGCUUAGCUUUCCUUGCAGCUUACUUGGAUGAUUCACCUAUUCUACAGGAAAACAUUCUAAUUCUUUCCGUUUUUUCUUUUUUUUUUCCCCCUCCUCUUUUCCCUUUUAAGAUCAACCACUUCAGAAGAACCAGAUUCCACUUCGGUGGCCAAGACUUUUAUGUUAUGGCUGGUCCGAUUGUUUUACCCUGCGUUCUAUGCUUCUAAACCUUGGAUCAUUUCUAAAGUACAAAUUCGGUUCUCGAACCACAAAUGAGGCUAAAAGAUGGGAGGAAAUUCUGUGAAUAUACAGGAUUGGGAUGGUGUACUAUCAAAAGUAUUGAGCUUUAUAAUGCAAUUAUUUGAGAAAUAGAAUCCUUUUUUUUUUUCUUAUGAUAUUGCCAGCAUUUUAAAUUACGUGUUUAUUAAGUGGCAUUGCUCAAAUAGCUACAGAGUUUGCGUGGAAAUAUUUGCUGUCCGAAUAGUUUGGAGAUUUAAAGAGAAAUCUCAAGCUUCAGAGGUAUUAAACUGUGACAUGCAAAAAAGUUUUUGUAUUUUAUUCUUAACUGCAAAGGUAUAUGUUUAAAUCAGAGUUAAAGUGUUAUAUAUCCCGGGCCCACUUAACAGUUGUGCUGUAUAGAAGUGUAAUGGGAAGCAAAAUUUCAAUUAGGUUCCCAUUAACUGGCAUAUAAUCCUUCUUUAAUGUAAUAGAGGCUAUGAUGUUGCUGUACAAAUGUGCUAGAAACAGAUUUUAACCCAUUUUCAGUCUCUUUCUUUGGAGCUAAUGGAGUGACUCUUAACUGUUCAUUGUUUGCAUUGUUUCUCAUAUUCUUCAUUAUUUUAAGGUCUGGAAUUAGUCUUUAAAUGGAUAUCAUGAUUAUUCAGUUCAUCCUAAUUUUUUAUAUAUCCUAUAUAUUUCUACUGAUGUAUUUUGAUAAGUAUUUAGAGGAAAAAGUUUCACUGAACCCAACUGUAAUUUCUAAGCUAUCCUUAUUACUGGAAGAAGAAUUCUCCUGCCUCAAACCAGACUUUUCCUAGUCCCUGAGACCCUAACUUGUGAGGUAUUUUAGUAACAUCACAAGUCAGGCUCUUGGGACCUAGGCGGAGGGGAACCAGCAGCUUUGGACCUUAUUGAUUGUCUGCAGUUACCAUCAGAACAAAAGAACAUACCUAGAUUCUGCCCAGGAGUAAAAAAGGGUGCUUUCCUUUAUAAGCAACAAUGUUUUCACCAUGACCCACUCCCAAAAAUACUGCUGUCAGAAACUGUACUCUCUAAAGUGAUUGCAUAGUUGUACUGAAAUAGCAUUUGUAUUGUAGCUUAACAGUCAUACAAAAGCAAUACAACCUAUCUGUAUAAGAAGCAAAAUUAAAACCUGAGUGUUUUAAAAAUAUUCCUUUUGUAUUUUAAGUGACUAGUAUAAGACGAUAUCUCCUUAGUUAAUAAUGAAUAGUUGUUUAUAUUUAUAACUUUUUUCAUCUGCAUAGAAAUAUGUAUGUUAGGUACUUAAAUAAAUCCUAUAUGUUUCCAUGUAACUGUGGCUCAGGAUAUGUAAUAUAUAGCUAUAAUCAUGCUUGAGGCCUAGAAAGAAAAUGAUUUACAGCCUUCUUUACUGUUUUAUAAUUGGUAUUUAUUACCAUAGUUUCCUUAGUCUUUUAACCAAACAGAACGCUUUAUGUAUCUUAACGAUUUACCUGUUGUGAUAGUCCAAGAGAGUUAUCAUCAGUAAUUUGGGGAAAUAUAAUACAUUUUAGUGUUUACAUUUUACUCAGUAUAUAUUAUAGACCUUUGUGAGAUAAAACAAUAAACAAACAAAAAAAAAACAGUAAACACCACCUAUGAAAUCAAACUGCUCUUAGUUCAUCUGUCAACUGACUCUUAACUGCUUAGUUUUCAUUCUAUACGAAUUUUAGUUUUAUAAGAAAUAGCUAUUCCAAGUUUAAUGUGUCAUAUUUGAACAUUAUUAGACACUGCCACAUCAAAUAUGUAUUUUUUGUGAUAGAAUCAAUAUGUUCAAUCCAUCUAAAAAUUUUACAGUAAUGUUCCAAAUAUCGAGAUUCAAAAUGGAGAUAAGAGCCUUUCCAUAACAGAAGAAGCAGAGUGACUUCAUUCUUUUACCUAUUGCAUUAUGUGGGUACCCUAGAUUAUAUGUGUCUUUUCCGUUGUUCAAAUAAAUUUAUGAAUAUUAUAGAAUACGAUAUGAAGUCCUAAGUCCCCAUUUUGUUGAAUUUAAUACAAUCACGUAUGUUUUAACUAUCACAGAAUUUAAUACAAAUCACCCACGAGUUACAGUUCCUAAAAGAAUUGAGAUAAUAAUAUCAUAAACAUAUUCCUCAUCUAUACAAGGCACAUAUAUACAAGGCAGUGGGUUUUAUACAAGGCACGUAGAAUAUGUUUAGGCAUGCUAUUUACACUGUACUUAUUUUCAUUAUUUAUGUCACCUACUUCAUUCAUCUAGAAUCUCUGAAACUGAGUGUGGGUAUGUAUGUGUAUAUAAACAUGUUUAAAACUCCGAAUGAAAGGAAGUAAUAUAAACAGUAAGGAUCUUGAGUAGUAUUAAUUUUUACUUCUUUUAACCUCCUUCUUAUGAUAAUUAAAGAUUUUUCAAAGUUAAGUUUCUCAAUACAGAGACCUCUCUGUGUAUCUGUAUGCACACAGAAACUCGAUUAUAUUUAAUAACAAAGUUUACACCUGGUUCAGAAACUACCUCUUGUAUAAAACAAUAUCACAUACAGGUAUAUGUUUACAGACACCUGUUUUAACAGAAUCAUAAAGAAUAUACAUAAGAUCUUCUAUUUAAUUUCAAAAUAAUAUAAGGGAUAUAUGUUUAUUGGUUACAGUAAUAUCCAGUACAAUAUAUUCCAAAUGCAAGAUUUUCUUUUUAUGCUCUCAUGUUCAUGAACUACACUAUAUAUUAACUUCUACUUCGUAACAAAAAUACGGAAGCUGAAUAUAGAAUGCAGUUAUGUUUGUGUAUUUCCCCAUAAACAUAUAUAAAAUAUACGUCAAGUACCUAUUUUUUACACUCUUUGAACCGUCUCUAUGUCACCAUCCUGGAUACGAUCUGUUUUGUUUUUGUUUUUGUUUUUUGUGAAAGCAUCAACAAUAGACCUUUUCUUUUACUGCGUAAAGGUGUGUAGACAUACAAGUGGGUGAGUUCGUUUCUAUAAACUACUUUAUGCUAUAUAUGUACAGACAGAUGUCAUUUUUUCUGCAUUUCUCUUAACUAUCACAGGAUAAUAUUGUUUAGGGGUGAUAUAAUAUGAUUUGGAAGAUCAUAUCAUGUUAAGCUUAAAGCAAAAGGAGCUAUCUACAACAAAGAGGGAGAAAAUGAUGUGUGUUGCAUACAAAAAAAGCAGUGAUAUUAACAAUUCCAUGGCUUCCUGGUUGGGAGACCAGCCUGAGCCAGACGCAUAUAUUAAGGGCUGUCUGCUGCCGAUGUGAGCUUGCUCAAUGCGGUGGAAAUGAGGAAUCACCUCAUCUCUGACACCAGCUUAUUUGUACAUUUUAAUUUUGAAAUAGGAAAUCACUGUUUUACAUAAAUUUAUUAACCCCUGCUUGAUUCUUUUUCUCUCUCAUAUUGUUUGCUGAUGUACUGUCAACUUCAAGUUCUUUUUUUUUUUAAUACCAUCACUCAACUUAAACAUCUAUCGGAGACCAGUGAAGUAGUAGUUUCUCUCUUGUCUCCUUUGUAUUGCUGUGUUAAUAUUGUGAUUCUUGUGCUUUUAACUUUUCAUCUCUGUAAGGAAAACAGCAAUUCUUCCAAAUGGCAUUUUUUUUUUUUUUUAAAGCCUUUUAGAAUCCACCAAGACAGCCACUUCUGGAUUUUUGCCAAAUCUAAAUAUGAUUAUAUUUCAUUCCAGGGUUCAUGGGAUCAAUAUCUUUCUCAGUAUAAAAGUCCUUAACACUUUAGUAUUCCACUGAAGCUAUGGAAGAGGUAUGGAAAUAUUCUUAAAUCAUUAAGGCUACAGUAAUAAUGUCUAGAACAAGAUAAGUAUCUCGGGAAUACCAUUAGAAGUUAAUUACUAAUGAAAUUAGAUAUGUAAUAUAUCUACCUUAAACGCCUCUACAAAGGGGCAUGCUGGUACAUGUGCCUAGGCUUGGUCUAUUUCACCUGGUAAAUAUGAAAAUAGUUUCACAAGCUGUCGUGUUUGGCUGAGUAUUGAGAAGAGCAGUACAUAAAGGGUUAGCUAAUGCCCAAAUUUCCUUGCCAUUUACACACGCAGGGCGGCCUACGUUUCUGUGGGCUGCAAACGCAGGCAUCAUUUUGAUUGCUUGAAUUCUUUUGUUUAAUUUCUAACUAGACAUUUAACUUAGCGCUCGAAUCCCACUGAUCCCUUAGUGACUGCGUUUGGAAAAGGAAAACAAAGUUCCUAAUAUGGAGAAGUUUUUAAAAAUCCUGGGCAUUUGUAAAUAUUUGAAAAAUAUACUUUUUAGCAUACCUCUGUGAAUACAUAUUUAGUAUGCAGAAAGUUAGAUGCUGUUAUUAUCUAUGUGUUGUUUACUUUUCCUGUAUAUCAGUGGCCAGAAACACACUGAGGCAUUAAUAUUUUUUUUUCUCUGUGUGUCUUCAUUUUUAAGAAUUCGUAGUCAAAACCAUAUAAAAAUUGCCAUCUUCCUAAGAUCAUCCACAUCAUUUCUUCAAUAAGCUAGUGUCAAUUUUCAUUGAAUGUUGCCGUUUUCUACAUAUUAGGUGCAGCUUUACCAGCUGAAGCAUGUAUGAUCCCAGCCAGUCAUGCUAAGUUGUGGGUUAAGAAUUUACUUCUGGAAGUUUGAAAGCAGGUGAAACUUAAAAGGUAUGUAAGGAUUUGUGAGCACCAAGUGACCAUUCUGAGAAUCAUCUUUCCUUGGCUUUGAAUUAACUUUCCCUUGGCCAUGAGUCAACAUCAGUGUUUCAUACAUCCAAAUAGGAAGUCCACCAAAAUUGUGCAAGCUUUAGAUUCUGCAAAACUUGGGUCCAUGCCUGGUUUUAAAGAGACUCCUUGGAUAGUCAGUGGCAGGAAAAGAUCCACCAUACUUAAGCCCACAUUGAAGUCAUCAUCCCUGGAUUUUGCAUAAACGUAGAAGAAGCCUUGCUGGGGAAAAGAUCGGGAAAUCUGAUUUUAAAAAGUCAACAUCAGUAUCUUGUAACAUUAAAUUAAUAGCACAGAGACAGUUUUAACUCCCUUCAUGUAGCAUGCCGUAGAGCUGAGAGCUGAGCUGACUCAACCCCAUCCCAGCGUAAACCCACCUCAAUUUCAAGACCACGCUCACCUCCAGACAGUUCUGGUGAAGCCGAAAUAACAACUGGUUUUGGCCUAAAGCUCCUGAAAUUGGAGUACCUGCAGAGUUCAUGCAAGAAGAACUUGGAAUCUCUGAUGUUUCAGCCUAACUUUCUAAAUUUCAAGGACCUUUUUGCUUCCCUAAAACACAGGGUGUAAGUGAAAGAAGGAAACGAGAUAUGCAGAAAAUGGGAAUGUGGGGACAGAAAAACAGAGAGGAAAAGAAAAUAACUGAAUUACUUUUUGUGAAGGCAGUUUUGCUCCUUUAGGAGCUUUUUCAUUUUUUAAAUUUAGUAAUACGCAAAUCCUUUUUAAGUUUGUUAGUCUCCAAAGUUAUUAAUUAAAUUCUGCCAAGAAUUCUGCUUCUAGGAAACAAACAAGCAAAUCCAUAAAAUGUCAUUUUUCUUUCUAGAUUCGGAAAAAAGUUUAUACUUGUCUACCUUUAGAUAUUGAAAAAAAUCGAUCUUCAAACCUACUGUUUAAGCCUUUGUAGCUUUCUAACUUGGCUAGCUCACAGGAGUCGCCGGGAUGAGGAUUGAACUUUUUUUUUUUUUUGCAAAAUUAGGAGAAAUGCUUUGCCUGAGAUAAAAAUUCUAAAGACUGGGCUAAAGCUAAAUGGAACUUAGUGCCUUAUAGGCUCAAUGCAGACCAUAAUUGAGUUUUUAUUUGCCCUUUCAAGGAUUUAUGCAAAGCUUUAUUCCCUCAGCAGAGUACACACAAGUCGACAUUUUUCACAGCCUGACUUUUCAAUUAUGGAUCCUUUGGAAAGUUAAUGAUGACUGUAUUGUUAAUACUGCCAACAUUGUGUCAGUACGUUCAAGAUUCUGUGAUAUUAAAUAUGCUGAUGUAAAGAUAUAUGUCAUUUCUGCUCAGCCUUGUGCAAACAAUCCAGCUUAAGUGAUAGAAUUAUAGGCAAAUCCUCUCCAGAGAUAAAAGCAGAAUGGAAUUCUGUUGAGACCAGUUAAAAGCUUCUCUUGUUUCAAGUGGUUUGUUAAAGAAUCAAGGCCAAAAUUUUAGAAGUUAAUUGUAUGGAGUCUCUCACUCAAGACUUCUGGCUAAAGUUAUGAUAUUUUUACCUGACGGUUCUAACUUUGGGGGUGAGGAAAAUAUCAUUACACACCAUUUAGGCAAUCAUUUAUAGUUUCAAAAAAAUCCAUACAAAGUAAGUUUCUGAGUAAAAUGAUUGAUAAUAUUUAAGAUAUCAAGAGAAUGGCAAUAAUUUUUCAGACAGCAAGAUAGUUGUAAGGGUUGAGACCAAAUAUUUCCCAUCACGUAAUUAGUAUAACAAAGCUAGGAUCAUAUUCUUAAUGUUUACCCUUCACAGUAAACCCUCACGUAUUGGUUAAGAGCAUUGGCCAUUGUUCAAGUUUGAUGGAUCCCAGAUGUUUAAAUAUAGUGACAGUUCAUUGAUAAAAUGAGUUAUAGCAGACAAAGCAACAAACCAAGAGCACAUUCUUCUCAAAAGUAAAAUAAAUAAUAAAUGUGAUAUUUAAUCACAUAUUUAAGAUAUCACUGUUCCAGAUUGUUUUACAUUUUUUAUUACUUAGUUCCAAAUCUCUUGCCUAAUAUAUCCCUUUUAGACAAUAAAUUCUAAUAAUGACUUUAUUUCCCAUGUAUAAAAAUGUCUGUCCAAUAGUUUCAGAGAAUGAAACCUUAUUUGGCAUGAAAUUAAAGUGUAUGCUACACUUAAAAAAUACUUCAUUUGCUGAUAAUGACCAAAUGGAGCAAAGUAUUUGCUGCAGAAUAGAAAUUAACUGAUGAUAGCAAAU
Loxodonta africana (African savanna elephant) is the source of this 7071-nucleotide long non-coding RNA. RefSeq lists it as uncharacterized. The transcript has 4 exons. The record is from RefSeq and is a predicted model, not a curated record. Lineage: Eukaryota; Metazoa; Chordata; Mammalia; Proboscidea; Elephantidae.